This 114-nucleotide ribosomal RNA is filed under the name Danio rerio (zebrafish). Lineage: Eukaryota; Metazoa; Chordata; Actinopteri; Cypriniformes; Danionidae. The record is from RNAcentral.
UCCCACAGCCAUAUCACCCUGCAGCCCAAGACCGGUUACUCACUGAAGCUAAGCAGGGCUGAGCCUGGUCAGUACCAUGGGAGACAACUAGGGAACACUAGGUUGCUGUUGGAA